RNA transcript from Etheostoma spectabile (orangethroat darter), 2165 nucleotides. It is a transcript of the gene named cilia and flagella associated protein 97, with no coding region annotated. The record is from RefSeq and is a predicted model, not a curated record. NCBI's taxonomy places the organism in Eukaryota, Metazoa, Chordata, Actinopteri, Perciformes, Percidae. The transcript is spliced from 6 exons.
CUGCACUCAGUUUACAUUGGGGAGUGGUAACCGGUAACACUCUGCACCAGAGCUGCCGUUGCCAGGAAGUGACGGUGCCUAGUUACUAGCCUCCAUGUCACGCUGAUAACAGCCAGCUGUAGCCAGCUAAAGAACAUUUUGUUUAUAUUGCAACUUUGCGUUUCAGUUACUCGUCUUCUCAACGGAACACAUUCUCGCUAAAGAAGUAAAUGCAUCUGUAACGUGAAGCAUUGUUUAUUGGGCGACCCUUCAAAAGGUCCAAUGUGCUAAGGAAGACAGCCAUGUUUAGCCCCGGGGAGCUAGAAGGUGAAGUGGAUCAUUCGUUUUUCGAUAGCGACUGUGAUGAUAGCAGCAGAGAUGGAGUGGAUCAGCUGGAGAAAAGUUUGAAGGCUGAAAAGGAGAGUCCACCAACACACGAGGGGCUUCAUGCAAAACAGACUGAAAAUACAAAAAGUGGCUGGUCCCUGAGAACUGAUGGAACAAAAAGAAACCUGAAGCCAGUAAGCAACAGAGCAGAAAGGAAGGAGAACAGCUGUCAAUCAAAGAAAGAAGAGAAGAGCAGGCCAUCCGCUGUAUCCUCUGUUGCCUGUACAUCAGACAAAGCCCUCAGUAAUAGCAGUGAUAGUGAGGAGGACUCUAAUUUGCACUCUAAAAGACUCAAUGGAACGUUUAUGGCUUUGUUGGCUGAAGCCAGAGAGGUAGCUAAUAAGGAUAUGUACAGCCAGAGUCCAAAUGAGUCUGAAGAAGAAGCAUUGCCAUCUAAACUCUCAGGCUUGAAAGGAAGAAAUAAACGAUCUCCCAAAAAACUGAUAAGAAAUCGGGGAACCCGAAGUCCAUCCCCCACGUCAACCGAGAGCAGCGUAGACAUAGACUCAGAAAGCUCCUUCAGCAGUAGCAAUGGGAGAAGCUGUUUAGAAUCCCCCACCUUUCCCAGGCCCAACAAACCUUCUGUAUCCCCUGGAGGGAGAGGGACUCGAGUGGGCUCAGCAGGAUCUCAGGAUGUGACUAUUGGCCAUACAGAGGAGUCAGAAGACACAGUGACAGAUGUAAGCCCCCUCUCAUCUCCUGACUUCAGCCCUCUACAGUCGUUGGACCUGAACCACACAGAGGCCGAAGAGGGAAGCCUUAAAGAGCAGCAGCAGCACCAGGAGAGUGUGCCCUCCAGUGGCCUUAAGGACAUACAUCAAGAUGUAGACUCAGACCAGGAUGUACAUGAGUGCUCGCUCAUUUCAGAGAGUCAGCUUGGAGGUAAACUGGUCUUCCACUGUCCUGGAGGGAGAAACCGGAAGAACUACUCGUUCACCAAUGCUGAGGUCCGACGCAUUGACCGUGAGAACCAGCGACUUCUUCGGGAGCUUUCGCGCCAUUCACCAGGUUCAAGACCAGGAAGUACAGCGAGGAAAAAAAACCAUGUGGCCAACAAGUUGCCUUUUAGUCGUCUCUCUCACAGCGCCCUCAACAGGCAGCGGGAGCAGCAACGCAUCGAGAGGGAGAACCUGGCUCUCCUGAAAAGGCUGGAGUCUGUCAAGCCUACACCUGGCCUAAAGCGUUCAGAGCAACUGGAAGACUACCAGCGACACAUUGGAUAUGCCGGCGCUCCUUCAUACUCUGUCUGUAUGUCCACUGCCAGAAAAGAGAGGUCUUCCAGCAAGACUCCCUCAGGUAAACAAUGAGAACCAGCAGGUGGCACUUCGCUGCUCUUCUCAAAUUGAAGGCUGCAGAUUUACCACACAUGUCUGAGCGGCUGCCAUCAGAUGGUUGCAGAAAUUAAAUUAACAGAAGAAGACUUUUAUACAGUAAAAAGCAGCUGGGGAUGACCGAUGCUGCAGGUCCCAGGACGGACAGUUCUGCCCACCACAGCUCCAGAGCAGUUUCCACUACCACUGACUCCGGGAAAACACCCAUACCCAGGUCAAAAAAAACUCAGUGCAGCUCAACCAGCCUGGUGCUGAGAACUAUGCCAGAUAUCUAAUAUACAAAGAAGCACAUCGCUGGUUACAUUUAGUGAUACUGUAUCUGUUGGUAUCCAUUUAUCACAAAAGGUUAUGUUGCAAAGAAUCUUGCAAAGAAUCUUUUUUUUCACAGGCAUGGGUUCACCAUACCUUUUAGUUCACUUAAUCAACUAUUCAGUGAUUUGUGUUGUGCUGCUUAUCAAUUAUAAAGAA